GUAAUUCGAACAGAAUUCGAACAGGAAGUGCACGGUUGCAUGGGAUUAAAAACAAUCAAUGCAACCAAGAUCCUGAACAGAAAAAUUGUGGUUUUAAAUGUUCGAUUCAUAGUUAAGCUUCAUUUUAAGGAUAUAUCCUUUUUAUACUGGUCACAAAAAACUAGCAGCGAUUGCAAAAGAAUUUUGAUGAUUUAGUCAAUUAACUUAACCGCUUUAAAGAUCCGAAAGGUAAACGAUCAAAAAUAUGCUUAUCACAUUUUGAUGAACAAAAUUAUCUAUCUUAUCUGUAUUUUUAUAUCAAAUGUUUUGUUAAUGUAUAUCAACCGGACUCGAUGAAUGAGUCAGCGACUUCCAAAAAUAUGUAAAUGAUUCUUUGUUUACUCCAGAUCACCAAAUGCUGCUGCGUGACAUGAAAAGACUUAAACGAAAGCUUUCUCUAAAGUUCCGUCAAUCGAAGAGUGUCGGCAGUUUGUCAGAUUUAACGGAGAAUAUUAGCAUAGAAAAUAAUGACAACGAAAUACGAAACUCCGAACAACAAGUAUUCACAUCACCGCCGUCUUCCUUGGUUCCUUUCGAAUUAUAUUUUAAACGACCUACGUUAGGGAGGCAUAAUUCCUUAGGAAUCGUUCAUGAAAAUCCUAAAAUUGGUUCGGACGGCGAAAGUGAAGAAGUUAGUGGAACUUCAGAUGACAAAGAUGACUCUUCCCCUGUAAAAUUACGCUAUCGUCAACGUCGAUUCAGUGAGGACAUUAACAAACGACUCUCCUUGCCUGCCGACAAUCUAAUCGACAAACAAUUUACACUUUCUCCGGAAGUACCUUUGAACAGACGCCAAAGACGAGCGUCUCUGUCUGAAUUGGGAUAUGGAAAGGUUGAAUCAUACAAGAAAUUAGAAAAGCUAGGUGAGGGAACCUAUGCUACAGUAUAUAAAGGUCAGAGUCUGGUUACAGACGCGGUUGUAGCCUUGAAAGAAAUACGACUGGAGCACGAGGAAGGAGCGCCUUGUACAGCCAUUAGAGAGAUAUCAUUGCUCCGUGAUCUGAAGCACGCUAAUAUUGUAACUCUUCAUGAUAUUAUUCAUACCGAUCAGUGCCUUACUCUAGUCUUCGAAUAUGUAGAAAAGGAUCUCAAAUUGUAUAUGGACGACUGCGGCGGCAUUCUAAAUAUAUGGAACGUAAAGCUAUUUCUAUUUCAACUGUUGCGAGGUUUAGCAUACUGCCAUGCCCGGAGAAUUCUGCAUCGUGAUUUGAAGCCUCAAAAUCUGCUUAUCAACGAGACAGGCGAAUUAAAAUUAGCCGAUUUCGGUCUUGCUCGAGCAAAAUCCUUUCCGAUCAAGACUUACUCAAACGAGGUCGUUACAUUAUGGUAUAGGCCACCUGAUGUUUUACUUGGCUCAACUGAAUAUUCGACGCCGAUUGAUAUGUGGGGUGUGGGGUGUAUUUUUUUUGAAAUGGUAUGUGGACGACCUCUCUUCCCCGGUUCUAGUCCCGAGGACCAAUUAACUAUGAUCUUUAAAUUAUUGGGUACUCCCACGGAAGCAACAUGGACAGGGGUUUCGACGAAUGAAGAGUUUUUAUCAUACGAGUUCCCAAGAUAUAAAAGAGAGUCGUUGAAGACACUUGCACCGAGAUUUGACUCAAAUGGAUUAGAUUUGCUACUCAGUUAUCUAUCGUACGAGCCCAAGAAAAGGAAAUCAGCCACCGAAUCUAUGAAAGAUCCUUUCUUCUCGGGAUUGGGCACAGAAGUUCAUUAUUUAGACGACACUUUGCACCGAGAUGACAGCUCUCAAUACCUUUUCCUUUUUGUAGUCGCUUCCAUUUUCACUGUUCCCGGAAUUCGCCUACACAAGGAUCCUGGAAGAAGAACGUUAAAUAUACCCACUGCAGCCGGUAAGUAA
Molecule: unclassified non-coding RNA, 1897 nt
Filed under: Dimorphilus gyrociliatus
Lineage: Eukaryota; Metazoa; Annelida; Polychaeta; Dinophilidae
Description: protein kinase domain-containing protein
Source: RNAcentral